AUUAGGCUUUAGAUUAGCUAUAUUUGUAUAUUGUUUUAAAUAAUUUUAUAGUAAAUUAUUUAGUAUAAAUUUAAGAAACUUUUUUAAGGAGUAAUAGUUAAUAAAAAUUAUGAAUUUAUUGAAUAAAUAAUGAAAUUGAAAAAUAACUCAAGAUAAGUUAGAAUGUUUAGCAAAAACAUUUCUGUUUGUUUAAUAAAAAGUAGGACCUGCCCAAUGAUGUGUAAAUGGCUGCGGUAUUUUGACUGUGCUAAGGUAGCAUAAUAAUUUGUUUCUUAAUUGGUAACUGGAAUGAAAGGUUGAACUAAUUUAUUUAGUUUGUAGAUUAAAUAAUAAAUUUAAGUAAGGGUAAGAAUUCUUUUAUAAUUUAGGGGACGAUAAGACCCUAGAAGCUUAAUAAAAAGGGUAAAUAUUAGUGAUAUAGUGUUGUUUGUUUUACUGGGGCGGUAGUAGUAAAUAGACUAUUAUAUGUUUGAAUGAUCCUUUAAAUUAAGAUAUAACGGGAAAGUUACUCUAGGGAUAACAGUACAAUAAUUUUGGAGAGGUCUUAUCGAUAAAAUUGUUUGUAACCUCGAUGUUGAAUUAAAAUGUCUAUAUAAUGUAGCAGGUAUAUUAGAUAGGUUUGUUCAAC
Molecule: ribosomal RNA, 628 nt
Filed under: Gammarus lichuanensis
Lineage: Eukaryota; Metazoa; Arthropoda; Malacostraca; Amphipoda; Gammaridae
Description: partial 16S ribosomal RNA
Source: RNAcentral